CCCUCCCUCUGGCCGCAUGCCUAACACAUGCAAGUCGAACGAGACCUUCGGGUCUAGUGGCGCACGGGUGCGUAACGCGUGGGAACCUGCCCUUAGGUUCGGAAUAACUCCCCGAAAGGGGUGCUAAUACCGGAUAAUGUCUUCGGACCAAAGAUUUAUCGCCUUUGGAUGGGCCCGCGUUGGAUUAGCUAGUUGGUAGGGUAAAAGCCUACCAAGGCGACGAUCCAUAGCUGGUCUGAGAGGAUGAUCAGCCACACUGGGACUGAGACACGGCCCAGACUCCUACGGGAGGCAGCAGUGGGGAAUAUUGGACAAUGGGCGAAAGCCUGAUCCAGCAAUGCCGCGUGAGUGAUGAAGGCCUUAGGGUUGUAAAGCUCUUUUACCCGGGAUGAUAAUGACAGUACCGGGAGAAUAAGCUCCGGCUAACUCCGUG
RNAcentral lists this ribosomal RNA (433 nucleotides) under uncultured bacterium. RNAcentral's name for it is "partial 16S ribosomal RNA". It matches the Rfam family "Bacterial small subunit ribosomal RNA", at positions 36 to 507 of the family's 1533-position model. The record is from RNAcentral.